GCCUCUCCAACCGUAGCCUUGGCCGGCUAGACCCCCUCCGCGUCGUCCCACGCCGCUCCCCUCCCCCACUGUCGCGAAGCUCCCGCCCGAGCGGACCACGUGCCGGGAACCGGGCGGGGAGAGACCACUCUUGAACCCCUUCCGGCUUCCUCGAACACCCCAGGCUGCAGCCCAUGCUCCCUAUGCUGGGUCCUCAGGUGAACUGCACCUUGUAACAGCCUGCUCAGCCUCCCACCUGAUCCUGAUUGGGCCAUGAUCCUGGGAAGGCUGAAUCACCGCCUCCCUCCGUCCCUCCCAGGGUUGGGGUUUCCAUGGGAGAGCUCCUCAUAGGCUACCCGAAGAAGCAGUUACACAGACGGUGGCACCGUGGCUUCCAGCAGUUCACACCGUGAAAUUAUCCAGACCUAUGAAAGCACAUCGAAUCCUCCAGAAAGAAAAAAAAAUCUAAAUGAGGUAAAGAGGGAGAAGUCUUUAGUUAGCAGGAAUCUUUGCCAUGGAAGGGUUAAUGAUCUGAGAAGAA
This 520-nucleotide long non-coding RNA is filed under the name Suricata suricatta (meerkat). Its description in RNAcentral is "lncRNA (ENSSSUG00005014831.1)". The record is from RNAcentral. Lineage: Eukaryota; Metazoa; Chordata; Mammalia; Carnivora; Herpestidae.